AAAUAUUACUAUGACCGUGGAUCGGGUCGAGUCUGAAUAGUUGAUAUACUAUAUCCAUAUCCUAAAAAAAAUAGAUAGAAAAAAAUAUAUACCGUACCUAUUUAAUUUCAGAACGGGUCCGGAUCUGAGUACUUAACUUAAUAAUAAAUUCAUCAGGUUUAUUUGAGCGGGUUUGGGUAGUGGCUACCUAUAUACUACUCGCUUAAGACCCGGUAUGGAUCGCGUAUGGGUUAGGUUUAGAUCGGGUACGAAUAUCCGUAUGCAUAUAUUUUUUUUAUAAACUUUAGGCUAAAUUACAUAAAACCCUCCUGUCAAAAUCCGAUUUUUUACUUUCCCCCCUGUCAUUUAAAAACCUACACUUUGCCUCCUUGUAAAAUGAAAAAUGUUCACAGGAGGGGUGCGGUGUGUAAAAUGACCAUUUUGCCCCUCACCAUUUUCAUCUCCUCCCUUAUCUUCCUCAACCGCCGCCUCGAUCGGCCGCAAUUCACACCUCGAUCAGUCACGAUUUCUCUUCAUUUUCUUCUCUACCUGCUCCCUUUCUCCUCCUGCACCCUCGCCACCCCUCGAUUUCGGCGACAGUAGAGAGGAAAUCGAGGUGGGCGUUGAUGGAAAAGUAGGCAAGGGCAACGAGGGCGAAGGCGAGACGGUGGCGAAGGGGAUGUGGGCGAGGACGAAAGCGAGGUAGUGGAGGAGGGCGAGGCGGCGAGGCGGAGGGAGGCGAAGCAAAAGGGAAGAGGGCAGAGGGGUAUUUUUGGCAUAAACAAAUAUUUUAUAACGGAACCCUAACGGAUCACUAACGGUAGGGGGUGAAGUGCAUAUUUUUCAUUUUACAAGGGGGCAAAGUGUAGGCUUUUAAAUGACAAGGCGGGUAAGUGAAAAAUCGGGUUUUGAUAGGGGAGUUUUCUGUAAUUUAGCCUAAACUUUAUUAAACAGUCUAUGGACAAGCCACAAAACUUUCACUAUAAAAACUCGCGUUCUAAUUAAUUGCACCGAGUCUAAUAAAAUUCGCUCAAAAGAAAGAUUCAGAUAGUAAACAGCUAGAAUUUUAAAAAAUGAGUAAAAUAAGAAAAUAAAAAAAUGAGUAAACAGAGCGACUAAGAUUUU
This 1104-nucleotide long non-coding RNA is filed under the name Ananas comosus (pineapple). Its description in RNAcentral is "long non-coding RNA (ACOM_LNC016415)". Lineage: Eukaryota; Viridiplantae; Streptophyta; Magnoliopsida; Poales; Bromeliaceae. The record is from RNAcentral.